RNAcentral lists this ribosomal RNA (253 nucleotides) under uncultured bacterium. RNAcentral's name for it is "partial 16S ribosomal RNA". It matches the Rfam family "Bacterial small subunit ribosomal RNA", at positions 524 to 776 of the family's 1533-position model. The record is from RNAcentral.
UACGUAGGUGGCGAGCGUUGUCCGGAUUUACUGGGUGUAAAGGGUGCGUAGGCGGGCAGACAAGUCAGGUGUGUAAUCCCACGGCUCAACCGUGGGCUUGCACUUGAAACUGUAGGCCUUGAGUGCAGGAGAGGUAAGCGGAAUUCCUAGUGUAGCGGUGAAAUGCGUAGAUAUUAGGAGGAACACCAGUGGCGAAGGCGGCUUACUGGACUGUAACUGACGCUGAGGCACGAAAGCGUGGGGAUCAAACAGG